UUACGGUUGGCCAGUCUGCUCUGCUCCGGCUGCGCACUGUCCGCGGACUGGGUGCUGGAGACCGAGGACACGCUGGAGCUCCGCACGAAGCCAAACGCCGCCAGCUUGGCUGCUGGGAGACGUGAUAUCCCCAGAACAAUGAAAGUAUCCCCAUAUAUCAGAUACCACCUUCACAAGUCACGAAAAUGUUCUAAAAUUGAUGGUGGUGAUGGUUGCACAACUCUGUGAACAGACGUAGAACCACCGGAUUUACAAUUUAAAUGAGCGCAUUGUAUGGGUUCCAGGCUCGACAGCCGGGGCCCAGGAAGUGUAUGCUGGUGAGAAGCAGAGGUGAACCCAUAAGCCCUGUGAAUUAUAGUGUUGGGUGAACCACACUCUCCCCAGCUGGAAGACUUUUUGCAGUGAAGGAACAAACCGAGAGACUCCCUACCGAGGUGGUCAGCAGGAAGUCAUGGCAGGAGUGAGCAUUCAGACCGCUUUAAUGUGGUAUCCUAGCUGUCUGGCUUUUCUUUGUCCUUUUUCCUCCAGAAGGAUGGUAUGCAGAUAUUUCCCUUCAUUUCCUGGGAGAGUCUGACGGGUACAAGCACAGGUAUCCUAAAACUUGAGGCACUGCAGACCCAAUGAAUGUUUCAAGUCGUUUCACUAUAGUAUGGUUCCGAGUGGUAUUGCUGGGUGAGGAACGUUCUGCAAAUUUGGCAAACGUAUGCUGUCCUAUGGCCACCACCAGCACAGUCAAACAAAACGAACACUUCCACGAACUCCAAAAAUUGCCCCAAGCCGUUUUGUAGAUCAACCAUUCCCUGAUCCCUAGUCCCUGCCAACCAAUAAUCCGGUCUCUGUUCCUAGGUUUUGCCUUUUCCAGAAUGUCAAUUAAAUGUAACUACACAGUGUGAA
Long non-coding RNA from Felis catus (domestic cat), 894 nucleotides. RefSeq lists it as uncharacterized. NCBI's taxonomy places the organism in Eukaryota, Metazoa, Chordata, Mammalia, Carnivora, Felidae. The record is from RefSeq and is a predicted model, not a curated record. The transcript is spliced from 7 exons.